UCCGUAGGCGGUCAGGUAAGUCAGUGGUGAAAGCCCAUCGCUCAACGGUGGAACGGCCAUUGAUACUGCUUGACUUGAAUUAUUAGGAAGUAACUAGAAUAUGUAGUGUAGCGGUGAAAUGCUUAGAGAUUACAUGGAAUACCAAUUGCGAAGGCAGGUUACUACUAAUAUAUUGACGCUGAUGGACGAAAGCGUGGGUAGCGAACAGGAUUAGAUACCCUGGUAGUCC
RNAcentral lists this ribosomal RNA (229 nucleotides) under uncultured bacterium. RNAcentral's name for it is "partial 16S ribosomal RNA". It matches the Rfam family "Bacterial small subunit ribosomal RNA", at positions 568 to 796 of the family's 1533-position model. The record is from RNAcentral.